RNAcentral lists this ribosomal RNA (400 nucleotides) under phytoplankton environmental sample. RNAcentral describes it as "partial small subunit ribosomal RNA". It matches the Rfam family "Eukaryotic small subunit ribosomal RNA", at positions 587 to 984 of the family's 1831-position model. The record is from RNAcentral.
AGCUCCAAUAGCGUAUAUUAAAGUUGUUGCAGUUAAAAAGCUCGUAGUUGGAUUUGGGACGGGGGUCGCGCGGUCGGCCGCGAGGUCUGUUACUGUGCGGCCCCGUCAUUUCACUCUCGGAGACCCGUCGUGCACUUCGCUGUGCGCGGCGCGGGACUCGGGACGUUUACUUUGAAAAAAUUAGAGUGUUCAAAGCAGGCUUUUUCAAGCCCGGAUACAUGAGCAUGGAAUAAUGGAAUAGGACCGCGGUUCUAUUUUGUUGGUUUCUACGACCGCAGUAAUGAUUAAGAGGGACAAUUGGGGGCGUCCGUAUUUCGUUGUCAGAGGUGAAAUUCUUGGAUUUACGAAAGACGAACAACUGCGAAAGCAUUCGCCAAGAGUGUUUUCAUUAAUCAAGAAC